This is a non-coding RNA of Chelonoidis abingdonii (Abingdon island giant tortoise), 157 nucleotides long. The record is from RefSeq and is a predicted model, not a curated record. NCBI's taxonomy places the organism in Eukaryota, Metazoa, Chordata, Testudines, Testudinidae.
UAUAAGGUGGUAAAGCAGCGCUCCGGGGGAGCGGGGCUGCAUGUUCCGGUGGAUCAAAGCAAGUUCGAAAUAACGCGGGUUCACCUAUAAUGCAAUAAGAUUUUUUCACUCCCGAGGACAGCAUUAUAUAGGGGCAGAGGUAUAUUUAUUUAGCACA